GAUGAACGCUAGCGGCAGGCCUAAUACAUGCAAGUCGAACGGUAGAUCGGGUAGCAAUACUUGAUUGAGAGUGACGUAAGGGUGCGUAACACGUAUGCAAUCUACCCUCAACAGGAGUAUAGCUCGGGGAAACUCGGAUUAACACUCCAUAACAUUACGAUGUGGCAUCACAUUGUGAUUAAAACUCCGGUGGUUGAGGAUGAGCAUGCGUCUGAUUAGUUUUAGUGGAGGUGUAACGGACCCCCAAGACGAUGAUCAGUAGGGGAACUGAGAGGUUGAUCCCCCACACUGGCACUGAGAUACGGGCCAGACUCCUACGGGAGGCAGCAGUAGGGAAUAUUGGUCAAUGGGUGAGAGCCUGAACCAGCCAUGCCGCGUGCAGGAAGACGGCCUUCUGGGUUGUAAACUGCUUUUAUCUGGGGAUAAAAAGCCCAUGCGUGGGACAUUGAAGGUACCAGAUGAAUAAGCACCGGCUAACU
RNAcentral lists this ribosomal RNA (479 nucleotides) under uncultured bacterium. RNAcentral describes it as "bacterial SSU rRNA". It matches the Rfam family "Bacterial small subunit ribosomal RNA", at positions 28 to 502 of the family's 1533-position model. The record is from RNAcentral.